Molecule: long non-coding RNA, 228 nt
Filed under: Elaeis guineensis (African oil palm)
Lineage: Eukaryota; Viridiplantae; Streptophyta; Magnoliopsida; Arecales; Arecaceae
Description: long non-coding RNA (EGUI_LNC056981)
Source: RNAcentral
ACCAUAAGGCUUGUCAUAAGGAUUGGUAUAACAUAAUCCUGGUGCAUAAAUGAUGCUUACGAUAAAUUUGGAUGUACUGUUUUGUUAUGUUACCAUAAGGGCAGUUAUAUUCGAUUUUGACGGUACCGAAAUGAAGGAUCUUACUUAACUAAAAUAUUAUAGCUUGUUAUGUUAACACAAGGCUAAUAAUAUUUUAGAGGUCAAGAUAAAAUAUUGAGAAUUGCAUGA